RNAcentral lists this ribosomal RNA (507 nucleotides) under uncultured bacterium. Its description in RNAcentral is "bacterial SSU rRNA". It matches the Rfam family "Bacterial small subunit ribosomal RNA", at positions 8 to 512 of the family's 1533-position model. The record is from RNAcentral.
AGAGUUUGAUCCUGGCUCAGGAUGAACGCUAGCGGCAGGCCUAAUACAUGCAAGUCGAGGGGCAGCGCGAAUAGCAAUAUUUGGUGGCGACCGGCGCACGGGUGCGUAACGCGUAUAGAACCUACCUUUUACAGAGGGAUAGCCCAGAGAAAUUUGGAUUAAUACCUCAUAAUAUUGUUGAAUGGCAUCAUUUGACAAUUAAAGUUUCGGCGGCAAAAGAUGGCUAUGCGUCCUAUUAGUUAGUUGGUGAGGUAAAGGCUCACCAAGGCGACGAUCCGUAGCGGGUCUGAGAGGACGACCCGCCACACUGGAACUGAGACACGGUCCAGACUCCUACGGGAGGCAGCAGUGAGGAAUAUUGGUCAAUGGACGCAAGUCUGAACCAGCCAUGCCGCGUGCAGGAUGACGGCCUUAUGGGUUGUAACUGCUUUUGUCAGGGAAUAAACCCUUGUUUGCGAACAAGGCUGAGGUACCUGAAGAAUAAGCAUCGGCUAACUCCGUGCCAGC